This is a long non-coding RNA of Gossypium arboreum, 259 nucleotides long. RefSeq lists it as uncharacterized. The record is from RefSeq and is a predicted model, not a curated record. The transcript is spliced from 2 exons. NCBI's taxonomy places the organism in Eukaryota, Viridiplantae, Streptophyta, Magnoliopsida, Malvales, Malvaceae.
AGGAGAAAUCGCAUAGGAGAUCUCGUCAAGGAAUAUUGCAAAUCAGGUGAGCCUUGAUAUGGGGACUUGGGCCGGACGGGAUUCAGAGUGGCCACGGUGAUCGCUUUUGGACCUUUAUAUAAGCUUUGGUUUUCAUUUAAUUUCCUUUAUUUAUUAUUUAUUUUUGGGUUGUAAUAAGGCCAUUUUUAACUUUUCUUUUAUUUCUUCUCGGGAUUAUUUUAUUUUUAAUAACUUCAAACCUGGUUGAUAAUUGUUCAAA